CUCUGCGGCAGGUUUUGUGGUGGCAGAUGCCUGCUCAGCUUGUACAAGCUUGAUGGGGUUUGUAGGGGGAGAGAAUCCACUGCAGGACAGGUGCCAGAGGUCGCUCCUCCGAUACUCUGAGCUUUAAUUCUGUCCCUGGAGACAUUCAAAGUCAGGCUAGGCUGGGCUCUGAACAACCUGCUCUAACUAUAGGUAUUCCUGUUCAUUGCAGGGGAGUUGGACUAGCUGGCCUAUAAUGGUCUCUUCUAAUUCAAAGGAUUCCAUGAUUCCAUGAUGGAAUCCACCCCGUGGAGCUCAUGGGGCAAUCUAGAGAAAGCCUUGGCCAAGGUGGAGAAGAGCAGGAUGGCCAAGGGGCAUCUUCCACAGAUUGCAUUGGGAUUAUGUUCUUGAAAAUGAAUUUCUGCACCUCAUGAGCAAUGAAGUAUGUCUCUGCAAGGGAACAGUGUCCAAAGGGAUGACAGGAACUACUCUGGUGUCAGCCAUUCUGUUGCUUUCCUGGGUGCAGGGCUGGAAGCCCCCAGAAGACCUGCUGUCCAUGCUGGUUUGUAGGACCUCUGAGCACUGCUUCACCCUGAUGGGGUGUGCCCCACUGGGAGCUCUGGCAGCUCCUCAUAUCAGAAAACAGAAGAUGUAAGUCAUAAUCUUCUUUCUCAUUCCAUGGCACAGAGGGUCAUUCACUUCUGCUGAUGGGAAUGUAAUUAGUACUUAAUUAUGCAAUGGUCCUGGCCUUCCUUAAUUAACUUGGAUUAUUUAAAGUAUUCAAAGCGUUCUGGAAAUAUAAAUUGCAGUAGGUCCAACCCUUACAUUUUGCUAAGAACUAAGUAUAACCUAGUAAGAAAUACAAAUAUCAUUAAUUCUUGAUACCUGCUUCUUGUAUACAUUGGAUUAAUUCCUUUUUUUACUCCAUUAUGUAUAUUUGGUGAUGGACAUCAGUGUCCUAUGGGAAUCUAUACAUAUUCUAUGACUCUAUGCAGAGUAAAUGCUCUGAUGUAUUGGCUGGCUAUUGAAAAUUCUGUCUUGUAUUUCUGCUUUUAGCUUGUGCCUGUGUGAAGUAUCUGUCUGUCAUUAUAUGUCUAAAAAUAAAAGAAAGUUAUAAAUGGUGAUUUUUAGGCUUCCACAGCAUUGUGGUUUGGAAUGAGAACAUUAUGCAACAG
Molecule: long non-coding RNA, 1154 nt
Organism: Gallus gallus (chicken)
Lineage: Eukaryota; Metazoa; Chordata; Aves; Galliformes; Phasianidae
Source: Ensembl